Molecule: long non-coding RNA, 533 nt
Filed under: Phascolarctos cinereus (koala)
Lineage: Eukaryota; Metazoa; Chordata; Mammalia; Diprotodontia; Phascolarctidae
Description: lncRNA (ENSPCIG00000031230.1)
Source: RNAcentral
GAUGCUAGCUGUUAGAGAGGCAAAAGUGAUGACAGCAAAUCUUGGGAAAUGAUUGAAUAUUUGGUGGCUCCAGCAUACUUAGCUGGUAAUCAGGGUUUUUGUCAUGGAUGAAGAAGGAACAACAGCAUUGCUGUAACCAUACUCAUAACUGAGGAUAUAUGUCACAUCUACACAAGCCCUUUGGACCUGGGACCUCAAGGCAUGAUGGGAGGAGAACCUUGGUUGUGAUGUACUCUAAAAACCAUGAUGAAGAAACCAAAAUCAUGUUGGAACAGGGGAGGUAAAAAAGCCAUUCUCAUCAUCUAGUCUGUUGUAGAAGUUGUCUCAAGUAUAUUUUCCGUGAUCCCACAGAAGAUGAACUUACCAUCUCAAGAUUUUUAUUCAACUACAAAAAGCAAUCAUUUUAUCCACCUACAAUGGUCUGUCAAAAACCACACAUAAAACAACAACAGUAAGAGGGUGACAUAUUCCUGGGCCAUUUCUGUCUUUACUUCCAUGGAAUAUAAUAAAAUAAUAAUUAAUAAUAAUAGCCA